This 441-nucleotide ribosomal RNA is filed under the name uncultured bacterium. RNAcentral describes it as "partial 16S ribosomal RNA". It matches the Rfam family "Bacterial small subunit ribosomal RNA", at positions 338 to 795 of the family's 1533-position model. The record is from RNAcentral.
CCUACGGGUGGCAGCAGUGGGGAAUAUUGGGCAAUGGAGGAAACUCUGACCCAGCAAUGCCGCGUGAAUGAAGAAGGUCUUCGGAUUGUAAAGUUCUGUCAGUGGGGACGAAAGAUGACGGUACCCACAGAGGAAGCACCGGCUAACUCCGUGCCAGCAGCCGCGGUAAUACGGAGGGUGCAAGCGUUGUCCGGAAUCAUUGGGCGUAAAGAGUUCGUAGGCGGUAUGUUAAGUCUGGUGUUAAAUGCAGAAGCUCAACUUCUGUUCGGCACUGGAUACUGGCAAACUAGAAUGCGGUAGAGGUAAAGGGAAUUCCUGGUGUAGCGGUGAAAUGCUUAGAUAUCAGGAGGAACAUCGGUGGCGUAAGCGCUUUACUGGGCCGUAAUUGACGCUGAGGAACGAAAGCCAGGGUAGCAAAUGGGAUUAGAUACCCGGGUAGUC